GCCAGUUUAGCUCAGUGGAUAGAGCAUCGGCCUGCAGACCGAAGGUUCCCGGGUUCGAUUCCGGUCAAGGGCA
Molecule: transfer RNA, 73 nt
Filed under: Myotis lucifugus (little brown bat)
Lineage: Eukaryota; Metazoa; Chordata; Mammalia; Chiroptera; Vespertilionidae
Rfam family: tRNA
About the family: Transfer RNA (tRNA) molecules are approximately 80 nucleotides in length. Their secondary structure includes four short double-helical elements and three loops (D, anti-codon, and T loops).
Source: Rfam by way of RNAcentral